This 301-nucleotide ribosomal RNA is filed under the name uncultured bacterium. RNAcentral's name for it is "partial 16S ribosomal RNA". It matches the Rfam family "Bacterial small subunit ribosomal RNA", at positions 509 to 807 of the family's 1533-position model. The record is from RNAcentral.
CAGCCGCCGCGGGAAAACGAAGGGGGCUAGCGUUGUUCGGAUUUACUGGGCGUAAAGGGCGCGUAGGCGGACUGAUAAGUCAGGGGUGAAAUCCCAAGGCUCAACCUUGGAACUGCCUUUGAUACUGUUUGUCUUGAGUUCGAGAGAGGUAAGUGGAACUGCGAAUGUAGAGGUGAAAUUCGUAGAUAUUGGGAAGAACACCGGUGGCGAAGGCGGCGACCUGGUCCUUUACUGACGCUGAGGCGCGAAAGCGUGAGGAGCAAACAGGAUUAGAUACCCCCGUAGUCCCUGUCUCUUAUAC